UACUGUUUACUCUAGGGUGCUUCUCACCGCCGAAGCUUGGAUUCCUUGUGGUCCUCCUCGAGGCACUGGAAGCCUCUUUGUAGUCGCUGCCAUCGGAACGAUAUGUCAAAAACAAACUGCUUGGACUUUGAAAUACAGACAAUCAUCCCAUUAGUCUAGCAUUUUGUUUCAAAUAACACUGGCAGCAGUUAUUUUUGUGAACUCGUUGAACAAGCAAGGAUAGGAGCAAC
Long non-coding RNA from Drosophila pseudoobscura, 230 nucleotides. RefSeq lists it as uncharacterized. The record is from RefSeq and is a predicted model, not a curated record. The transcript is spliced from 2 exons. NCBI's taxonomy places the organism in Eukaryota, Metazoa, Arthropoda, Insecta, Diptera, Drosophilidae.